UGAGCAAUCUGCCCUUCUCUUUGGAAUAAGCGUUGGAAACGACGUCUAAUGCCGAAUACGACCUCCUUUCGCAUGAUCGGAGGUGGAAAGCUCCGGCGGAGAAGGAUGAGCUCGCGGCCUAUCAGCUAGUUGGUGUGGGUAAUGGCCCACCAAGGCGACGACGGGUAGCCGGCCUGGAGAGGGUGACCGGCCACACUGGGACUGAGACACGGCCCAGACCUCCGUACGGGAGGNAGCG
Molecule: ribosomal RNA, 238 nt
Filed under: uncultured bacterium
Lineage: Bacteria
Description: partial 16S ribosomal RNA
Rfam family: Bacterial small subunit ribosomal RNA
Source: RNAcentral